GAGCUUAUAUCUUCAAGCC
RNAcentral lists this small nuclear RNA (19 nucleotides) under Arabidopsis thaliana (thale cress). RNAcentral's name for it is "snRNA_11143". The record is from RNAcentral. Lineage: Eukaryota; Viridiplantae; Streptophyta; Magnoliopsida; Brassicales; Brassicaceae.